ACUCCUACGGGAGGCAGCAGUGAGGAAUAUUGGUCAAUGGGCGGAAGCCUGAUGCAGCAACGCCGUGUGAGUGAAGAAGGUUUUCGGAUCGUAAAACUCUGUCCUAAGGGAAGAAACAAAUGACGGUACCUUAGGAGGAAGCCCCGGCUAACUACGUGCCAGCAGCCGCGGUAAUACGUAGGGGGCAAGCGUUAUCCGGAAUCACUGGGCGUAAAGGGUGCGUAGGCGGCUUAGCAAGCCAGGGGUGAAAGGCAUUGGCUCAACCAAUGUAAGCCUUUGGAACUGUUAAGCUUGAGUGCAGGAGAGGUAAGUGGAAUUCCUAGUGUAGAGGUGAAAUUCGUAGAUAUUAGGAGGAACACCAGUGGCGAAGGCGACUUACUGGACUGUAACUGACGCUGAUGCACGAAAGCGUGGGUAGCGAACAGGAUUAGAUACCCUGGUAGCACAGAG
This 450-nucleotide ribosomal RNA is filed under the name uncultured bacterium. RNAcentral's name for it is "bacterial SSU rRNA". It matches the Rfam family "Bacterial small subunit ribosomal RNA", at positions 335 to 799 of the family's 1533-position model. The record is from RNAcentral.